This 373-nucleotide ribosomal RNA is filed under the name uncultured organism. RNAcentral's name for it is "bacterial SSU rRNA". It matches the Rfam family "Bacterial small subunit ribosomal RNA", at positions 526 to 896 of the family's 1533-position model. The record is from RNAcentral.
CGUAGGGUGCAAGCGUUAUCCGGAAUUAUCGGGCGUAAAGAGCUCGUAGGCGGUUUGUCGCGUCUGCUGUGAAAACCCGAGGCUCAACCUCGGGCCUGCAGUGGGUACGGGCAGACUAGAGUGCGGUAGGGGAGAUUGGAAUUCCUGGUGUAGCGGUGGAAUGCGCAGAUAUCAGGAGGAACACCGAUGGCGAAGGCAGAUCUCUGGGCCGUAACUGACGCUGAGGAGCGAAAGGGUGGGGAGCAAACAGGCUUAGAUACCCUGGUAGUCCACCCCGUAAACGUUGGGAACUAGUUGUGGGGUCCAUUCCACGGAUUCCGUGACGCAGCUAACGCAUUAAGUUCCCCGCCUGGGGAGUACGGCCGCAAGGCUA